Triticum aestivum (bread wheat) is the source of this 135-nucleotide non-coding RNA. The record is from Rfam. NCBI's taxonomy places the organism in Eukaryota, Viridiplantae, Streptophyta, Magnoliopsida, Poales, Poaceae.
AAAGUACUCCCUCCGUCCCAAAAUUCUUGUCUUAGAUUUGUCUAGAUACGGAUGUAUCAAGUCACAUUUUAGUAUUAGAUACAUCCGUAUAUAGAAAAAUCUAAGACAAGAAAUUUGGGACAAAGGGAGUAGUUG